UACGGAGGGUGCGAGCGUUAAUCGGAAUUACUGGGCGUAAAGCGCACGUAGGCGGUCAUGUAAGUGGGAUGUGAAACCCCCGGGCUUAACCUGGGACUUGCAUACCAGACUGCAUGGCUAGAGUAUGAGAGAGGGUGGUGGAAUUUCCGGUGUAGCGGUGAAAUGCGUAGAGAUCGGAAGGAACAUCAGUGGCGAAGGCGGCCACCUGGCUUAAUACUGACGCUGAGGUGCGAAAGCGUGGGGAUCAAACAGG
RNAcentral lists this ribosomal RNA (253 nucleotides) under uncultured bacterium. Its description in RNAcentral is "partial 16S ribosomal RNA". It matches the Rfam family "Bacterial small subunit ribosomal RNA", at positions 524 to 776 of the family's 1533-position model. The record is from RNAcentral.